GCUCCACAGCAGGCUUCCUACUUUGACGCCUCACGCGCUCUUCAGCUCUCUUUUUCUGUGGGUCUCGCGGCUCUCCCCCUCUACAAUUACGAGUAGUGCCUUGAGCCGGGCGUUCGGAGACCCACACAGGAGGGACAGGAUGGGGAGAGCGGCAUUAAAGGGUGGUGACUCAGGAGUUCAAGACCAGCCUGGCCAACAUGACGAAACCCCGUCUCUACCAAAAAUACAAAAAUUAGCCAGGCAUGAUGGCGGACGCCUGUAAUCCCACCUACUCGGGCGGCUGAGGCAGGAGAAUCGCUUGAACCCGGGAGGCGGAGGUUGCAGUGAGGCGAGAUAGCGCCACUACACUCCAGCCUGGGCGACAGAGCGAGACUCCGUCUCAAAAUAAAAAUAAAAAAAAAAUAAAGGCGGGGUGGUGGUGGUGACAAGCCCCUAUUACGGCCUUAGUGCGGGAUUCCCCUUGGGGCGGGAGACGUCGUCCUUCCGGGUGCGGGUGCGGACUGCAAGUCCUAUCGGGGACCGCGACACCGGACUGCAUCCGCCAGCGUCCAGGGCGUAGCGCCCCCCAGGCGCUGCCUUCGUCCAUCUCUACGGGGAGUGGCGGCCAGAAGACUGGGUUUUCCCCGUGCAGCUGUGCCCCACGUUGGGGAAACUGACUUUUCAGAGUGCUUGGGGAGGAUGGUGGGAAGGAAUGAAGAGGACAAGGACAGACUCGUCUGCCUCAAUACAUCCACAUAGUGGACACCACUGUCUUUUGGGAAGCUUCCCCCUCUCUCAGGAGUACGUGAGUAAGUUGUUUCCCUGGCUACCUUCCUGGGGAACCAAAGUUUGCGGGGAAAGAACACAUCAAAGUGCUUGUUGCAAAGAAGAACCUCCUCUUUAUUCCACAUAUAGAAGCUGUGUUUCCAGAGCUGGGAAAGGGCUUCGACCUGGCCCUACCUCUGUGUGGGCCUAGAGAUGAAGGUCUAGGGCCGGGCGUGGUGGCUCACACCUGUAAUCCCAGCUACUUGGGAGGCUGAGGCAUGAGAUUUGCUUGAACCCGGGAGGCGGAGGUUGCGGUGAGCUGAGAUCGUGUCAUUGCACUCCAGCCUGGGCAAUAAGAGUGAAACACCGUCUCAAAAAA
This 1123-nucleotide long non-coding RNA is filed under the name Homo sapiens (human). RNAcentral's name for it is "HSALNT0397874". Lineage: Eukaryota; Metazoa; Chordata; Mammalia; Primates; Hominidae. The record is from RNAcentral.